Fukomys damarensis (Damara mole-rat) is the source of this 426-nucleotide long non-coding RNA. RefSeq lists it as uncharacterized. NCBI's taxonomy places the organism in Eukaryota, Metazoa, Chordata, Mammalia, Rodentia, Bathyergidae. The transcript is spliced from 3 exons. The record is from RefSeq and is a predicted model, not a curated record.
GGGGAAUGCUGCAGAGGCACCCACAUGGCUGGACAGUUCCCACUGGUCUGCUCCAAUGAAGGCAUGGGAUGAUCGAGGCUGUUUCCAGAUGCUUUCUCCUUGAUGGUGGACCAGCACCUCGAAACAUCAGAGCACAGGUGAUUAAAACUCUCACGACAAACCUGCCAGUUUUGUGGCUGGAAGCAGCAAAGAAAGGAGCCUGUGUGAAUGCAGUUACAGAGUGAAGAAGGGAUUUUAGAAAGAGACACAAGAAAGGGAGUCUGUAUGAAUUGAGUGAAAGACACAAUUGCAGUAGCAGCUGUGGACAGAUGAACUGGUGGCCAGGAGCGCAGCCAUGAGCACACCCGUGAUCCACUUAGAGCGGCGGAGCCCACGGAGAGCCUGAGUAAAGAUAUCAAGGGCGUGGACUCUUCCCUGGGAUGGGUU